GUAGUAUUAUGGGAGCUAGUGAUUUUGGAUAUUUUUGAUAUGCUUAUUGACUAUUUUUAUACAUUCUUGGAGGAAAAUCUAUUUACAUAUAUUCUUUGCCCAUUAAAAAAUAGUGGUGAUGCAUUCCUGUAAUUCCUGCUAAGGUAGGAGAAUCUCAAAUUCAAAGCCAGCUUUCAGCAACUUAGGCCCUAAACAACUUAGUGAGACCCCUGUUCAAAAUUAAAAGGAGUGGGAUGUAGCUUAAUGGUUAAGUGCUCCUGGGUUCAAUUCCUAGUACCACACCAAAAAAAUAAAAAAGUGUUGCCUUUUUAUUGUAAAUUCUUCACAUGUUCAGAUCAAGUCCUUUAUCAGAUAUAUAAUUUGGAAUUUUUUUUCUCCCAUUCUGCAUUAUAGUCUAUCUUGGAGAAUAUUUCAUUUGCAUUUGAGAAGAAUGUGUAUUCUGCUCUCAUUACUGGAGUGUUUUGUACAUAAUUGCUAAGUAUUGUUGUUUUAUAAUAUUGUUCAAAUCUUUUGCUGCUGCUUUUUUCUUUUCUUUAUUUUAAUUUUUUUUGGUACCAGGGGUUGAACCCAGAGGCACUUAUUUAACCGUUGAGCCAUGUCCUCAGCCCUUUUUAUUUUUUAUUUUGAGACAACGUCUUGGUAAGUUGCUAAGGCUGGCCUUGAACUUUGAAUCCUUCUGCCCCAGCCUCCCAAAUUGCUGAGAUUACAGGCAUGUGCCACCAUGCUUGCCUCUUCUGCUUCCUUUUUGAUCUUCUAUCUGCUUUUUCUCUUCAUAAUUAAAGUGGAAGUACUGUUGU
This 797-nucleotide long non-coding RNA is filed under the name Marmota monax (woodchuck). The record is from RNAcentral. Lineage: Eukaryota; Metazoa; Chordata; Mammalia; Rodentia; Sciuridae.